Molecule: long non-coding RNA, 5251 nt
Organism: Equus asinus (donkey)
Lineage: Eukaryota; Metazoa; Chordata; Mammalia; Perissodactyla; Equidae
Source: Ensembl
CAGGAAGCUUACAGCCUCGUAUGCAAAGCAAGGGCUUCCUGCAUGGGAUGACAAUCCAGGACUGACUGUGACAAAGUCUGGCGGAGCAGCUGAGAGGUGGUGCCAUCACCCGUCAGGCACAGCACGGCUUCUGGCUGCGCAGGUGUACACUUCUCAGACAGCGCCUGGGGCAGACGCACACACCCUAACUGAAGGCAGACUUGCAGAAACAAAAGCUGCUUGCUCUCCAGCUGUCAGGGACGUCUCCAGGAGAUCCCUGACGUCAUCGGAGGCUGAAAGAGCUGCUCUGAGAGACACGUGGACUGCCCUCUCUCCAGCUAAGGAGGUGGCCAGCUCUGCCCUGGGCUGUCCUCUUCAAACAGACAGCUGCAGGCCACAUGACGCCAUCUCCUGACCUCAGUUUAGUUUCCUGGGGGCAAGAGCUGACUCAACUUCAACAGUAAUAAUGUGCUAUAUUAUCUCGAACUUUUGAGUUCAGGAAGCUGAUUUUGCUUUAAAAUGUCCACUGCCUUCCUUUCAUCGAGCUGGUGAGGCAGGCUGGCAACAGAAGCAGUGGGCCCAGAGAGGUAAAGUGGCACCCUGUCUUGGGCAAGGAUUUGGGAGGGCCCCUCCUCCAAGGAGGCCUGGGAAGCGCCCUAAUCAUCUCGGCAGCAUUGGAACAAAGCUUCGGUCAAGCAAUGAAUGAGAGUUCCUGUUGCUCCACAUCCUCACCAGCAUUCGGUAUUGUUAGUGUUCUGGAUUUUGGCCAUUCUAGUAGGUGUGUGGAGGUUCUGAUGACAACUCCCUCACGUCUGAUCCUACCCAAGAUGUCACCCUCGCCUCACAUAACUCCCUGCUCAGGAACCACUGUGUGGGCAGCCCUCACCCACUUUGCCCUUGCUCUCCCCAUGAGUCCCUUCCCAUUGCAUCUCCCUAGGAUUUGGGGUUCCUCCCCACUCCUCUACCCCAAGACCUACUGAAUCAGCAAGACUUGAGAACCUGUGACAAGCAGACCACGCCAGGGAUCUGCUGCACACUGAGUUUGGGAAUCAUUGAGCCAGCUGAUCUCUAAGGACUGGUUUAGCUCCAAUAUUCUAGGAUCAAGAUGUUCUGAGGGAUGGCAGGCUCCGGGGAAGAAGCACACGGCCUCCCACGUGCACAGAUGAGUUUUAAUAACCAUCGGGUCUCAGGCUUUUUACUGCAGUGAUUGUCUACCUGGGCUGCAUAUUAGAAUCAUCUGUGGGGUUUUUAAAACUCACAGAUAAUAUGGUUUCCAAGCAGAGAUGAGAUGUGUGGGUUUCUUCCCCCUCUUCUCUAAGAAGCAAAAAACCACCUUGGAAUUGCCGGCAGUGGUUCCACCCAAAGGGUACGUGUUGGUACCAGGUGUUCUCUCUGGAAAUCUCCCCAAUGAGGGUCAAUCACUUGGUGCCACAGAGGAGAGCGAGCCUUCUGAACAAAGCGGGCUGUGGAGACCUCAGGACUGACCCUGGUAACUUCCUUUAAAAGAGUAGCCUCACUGUCUGGCAAAAGGGAUGUACUCAGACCCUUUAGGCUCCAAGGAUGGUCAAAGAAAAGCUGCGGACCCCAGGGUGCAUCUCUGGGGUGAGAAGAGGAGAGUGGAGAUUCUGGCUCCACCAGCUUGUGGGGCUGGAACUGAGUCUGAAUCAGCAUCCGGGGCCAGCCAGUGUCCUGGGAGGAGGCUGUGGAGGUGAACUGCUACAUUAGGAGACCAUGUCAGGGUACCCUUGGCCAAGGUUAGCAAAGGGGGAGGUGGUGGUCCCUUCUCCAAGGGCCACAGCUGGGCAUGAAAGGCUGCCAGGAGCAUCUGGUGGGCACCAGCUGAGGAUGAGGUAGGACCAGUGUCCAACAGUGACACCAUGGGGCAGCGGGAAGUCACAGCAGAAGUAAUGCUAAGUGAUAAUAUUUCUUUGGUGUUAUUUGCCCAGCAUUGAUCUAAGUGCCUCACACUUAUUCAUUCAUUUAAUAACAAUUAAUAGCAGUUCUGUCAGGGAGUCAUUAUCACCCCCAUUGUACAGAGAAAGAAAUCAAGGCAAGGAGGUUAUACAAUUAGAGAGUUGCUGCCAGGCUGUGAACCAGGCAGUCUGGCUCCAGAGCCCACAUCCUUAACCAUUAUGCACUGCUGCCUCAAUAACAAUAACCAUAAUUUACUGAGAACUUACUAUGUCUAUUAUGUUCUCUGUGCUCUUUUAGUCUUCACCACAAUCUGACGAGGUGGGAACUGGUUUUAUUCCCAUUUUGCAGAUAAGAAAAGCGAGGCACAGGGAAGAUAAGUAGUGGUCUGCUCAUCGUCCAUUCUCGCCCCUCUGGGAAUGGAAACCGGACUCAUCCCAGCCAAUCCCACAGCUGCUCCUUCACUUUUUGGAAGUUCUAAGCCUUUAGGGUUCCCAGAAAAGUGAAGCUAGUGGAAAGCUUCGUUACGGGAUGCUGGGCUUCCUGCAACAGAACAUGUGCACUCUUUAGUGAGGAACUGGAAAAACAAAGGCCGUAUGACAAUAUUUCUACCUCCAAAUUUGUGAGAGCAGAUCAUAACAAUUUCAGGGGCCCCACCCCAGAUUUGUGGAAUCAGAAUACGUGAAGGGUGAGGCCAGGAAAUCGGAAUUAAAACAGAGCCAAAAACAAACCACAGGUGAUUCUGGAGCACAGCCAGCGUUGAGAAUUACUACCUUGAUUUCACAGUCGUAUUUCCCUGCCCCCAAUGAGCAGGCAACAGUGUUUCUAGGAACUGGUUCUAGUUUUCGAGUCCUCCUGCUUAGAAAGAAGCUGCGUGUGGGAGCUGACCAGAGGGAAGGAGCUGUUAAGGACCUGGGCAGAGAAGCAAAGCCCCAGGAGCCCAAGAUUCAUGCCCAUGCGCUCUUUGUUCAUGCCCUCCCCUGGCCUGCUGGACUUGGCAAAUCAUUAUCUGUUCUUCAAAGGUAGGCACAAACAUCUUACUCUUAGUAAACACUUCCCCUGUUCAGCCUCCCCUCCUCCAGCCUUGUGCAUCUCAAAGGACUGCCACUUGGGAGCCCACAGCUCAAACCUGGCUCAGAGCACUGCUCACCACAUCCCUUCCCUGUGUUGUGCCCCUACCUUUCAGGACUGCCUAUUAUUUACACCUUGCCCUUCUGCUCCCCUCACACCGGCCAAGCAAGGUGCCUGGGACAUCAUAACCUCUCAGAAAGUGCUAGCUGUUGAACGUAAGGGAGAGGAAGGAGGGAGGAAGAAAGAUAGAGGGAUAGGGAAGACGAAAAGGGCAAAAGGUAACACAGAUGGAGAGUGGCCAGUGAAAUCUGAUUUAGUGUUGACCCCUUGAGCACAUGUGACCUUUGCUCUGACCCAUGGGUACAGCCAGUCCAGGCACUCAUCUGGUCGCCCUGGAACUAUGCACACAGAGUACUGAGAGAGAGAGAUGAGGACAUUUAUGGUUUCACCAGGAACCAUUUCUUAUUUCUGUUGAUGCUUAUAACAAUCCUAUGAGAUAAGUAGGGUAGAUCUGAAUAAUCUCGUCUUACAGGGGAGAAAACUCAGGCUCCGGAAGCUAAUAAGCAUGUCCAAGGUCACAUGGCUGGUAAGCAGAGCAUGGGUUAAUCCAAAUUCAUUGCUAGACAGACAAAAAUAGCUCCGAUUUUAAGGUUGGAAGGGCCCUGGCAUAUCAUCUGAUCCAACUCUCUGGUCAAUGUGCAUCUUCCCCACAACUUAUUGGAGGAGAGGGGAUGGAGCUGUGUUGGAAUAACCCUAACAAUGGGGAGCUCCCUGCAGCCACUGCAGCUUGGACAGGACCAAAUGAAAGUUGUCCCUUACACUGAGUUAAAGUUUUCUCUGUAGCACAUAACCAGCAGCUCAAUCCUCUCCUGAAGACCAGUGAAAGGCGUGUUCCCUUUCCACUCUGUCAGCUGUGCUCCACCGCUCUGAGACACCACGACCGACAUCCUGGACUGAGGCAAGGCCCCCUUCCCCGGCCUCAGAGCGCUCCAGCAGAGGGCUGCCCGUGCUUGCUCAGCUGGCACGCUGACUCACUCCCGACAGUGUAGGUGAGUCACCGCUUGCCUACGGGGAUGUAUUUCCCAUUUGAGGUAUAUCAAAGGAGAACAUCCUCUGCCACUCUCUACUUACGCAGGAGAAUGUGGAGCAUCUCAAGAGAUCUCAAUCCUGCCUCAUAAGAAGUUCAAGGGCUUUACUCAUACAACUCAUGCUUCAUAAUAAAAAUGUACACAAGGUCUAAAAGACAGACCUGGUGAGUUGGACCUAAAAAAAGUGGAAGCUACAGAACAAACAGCUUCCUGCAUAGGAUGUAAUGAUAUACCUGAGAACUUGAGGGCCUUUAGGGGUUGGAAAGGCCUUUUCAAGUUUUGUUUUCAGUUUUUGCAUUCCAUCAAUAAGGCAAGUAGGAGAAAAGUAAACUUUUUUUGUGAACAAGAAUAACAGGAAUCAGUCUCACAGCCAGAGAGGCAUGGGAUCAGGACCUGCCCCAGGCCGUCUGGGUCCGAGGUCAAUAACUGAGUCUGGUGUGUGUGUGUCACUGGCCAGAGCAAGCCCUCUAGAGACUCCCCAGGUGGUGACAGCCCAGGCAGUCUCGUGCUUCAGCUCAGGCCUGCGUGCCGGCUGCUCCCCCUGGGAUUGGCGGCAGCACUUCUGAGCCUGGCGUUUUAUUGUGUAUUAUGUUAUCUCAAUAGGAAAAGGCAAUUCAGGGGAAGAAUUUCCUUGUCACAGUGCUCCAGGCUUUCCAUUGUCCAGCUUUCUUAGCCCAGGUUCAUCCCCUGGGUCUGACCAUUACUCAUAUCCAUGGAGGCGCCUUAUCAGAGCUGUCUAAGAUAGAGGGUCUAUUUUUUUCUCAGUACCAGACAAACUGGAAUCUGUCCACCCUUUGUGGCCUGACAUCAUCCCACAAUUAGCCGGUUUGAAUCCAGCCACACUGAGAAGAUACUAGAAAAGCAGCCCCUCGUCGUCCAGUUGUCUCGUUCACAAAGCCCUGGGACUUCAGGGCCCUCUGGGGAGAUCGAGAGCCAUCUCACAGAGGAGCUGACUGUGAGGGUCUUUACUCCGGAGCUUUCUUCCCCAACUUGUUUCUCUGAAAAACUUCGAACCUACAGGAAAGUUGAGAGAAUAAUACAAUGACCAUGCCUCUACUAGUCACCUAGAUUCACCAACUGCUCCCAUUUCAUCACAUUUGCUUUAUCUCUUUCCCUCCGCUUACAUAUCCACCUGAAAAAUAUAUACUUUUUUCCUGUCGAACCAUUUAAAAUAAAAGUUGCCAAAUCAUGAUGCUUCUGUG